GGCUUGUUGAUGAUAAUUUCAGGUCUGACCUGCCCAAUGAGUAUUUAAAUGGCCGCAGUAUCUUGACUGUGCAAAGGUAGCAUAAUCAUUAGUUUUUUAAUUGGAAGCUGGAAUGAAAGGUUAGAUGAAAAAAUUUCUGUCUCUUGAGAAUUUUAUUAGAAUUUUAUUUUUAAGUCAGAAAGCUUAAAUUUGUAUGGAAGACGAGAAGACCCUAUAGAGUUUUAUAUUUUUAAAAAGGUGAUUUUUUUGGUAAGGAAAGGUUUAGGUUUUUAAAAGUAUUUUGUUGGGGUGAUAGAAAAAUUUAAUAAACUUUUUUUGAAAGUUUUACAUAAAUGCAUGAGUAAUUGAUCCUUUAUAAAGAUUAUAAGAUUAAAUUACCUUAGGGAUAACAGCGUAAUUUUUUUUAGAGUUCUUAUCGAAAGAAAAGAUUGCGACCUCGAUGUUGGAUUAAAAUUAAUUUCUGGUGUAGAAGCUAGGUAAUUAGGUCUGUUCGACCUUUAAAAUUUUACAUGAUCUGAGUUUAGACCGGUGUGAG
Molecule: ribosomal RNA, 535 nt
Filed under: Trigonopterus sp. 638 AR-2022a
Lineage: Eukaryota; Metazoa; Arthropoda; Insecta; Coleoptera; Curculionidae
Description: partial large subunit ribosomal RNA
Rfam family: Bacterial large subunit ribosomal RNA
Source: RNAcentral